RNAcentral lists this small RNA (863 nucleotides) under Mesoplasma seiffertii. RNAcentral describes it as "bacterial LSU rRNA". The stretch from base 366 to 863 matches the Rfam family "Bacterial large subunit ribosomal RNA", at positions 1 to 497 of the family's 2925-position model. The record is from RNAcentral. Lineage: Bacteria; Bacillati; Mycoplasmatota; Mollicutes; Entomoplasmatales; Entomoplasmataceae.
CCGCCCGUCACACCACGAGAGUUGGUAAUACCAGAAGUAGGUAGCUUAACCGUAAGGAGAGCGCUUCCCAAGGUAGGAUUAGCGAUUGGGGUGAAGUCGUAACAAGGUAUCCGUACGGGAACGUGCGGAUGGAUCACCUCCUUUCUAUGGAGUAAAUUUUAAAAAGCAGCGUGAAACUGCUUUGACUGUUUCUGUUCUAUUUAGUUUUCAGAGGUUAUUAAUUUAAUCUCUGAAAAGAUUGUUCUUUGAAAACUGAAUAUUAGAUGAAAAAACAAUUUUCUUAAUUGAAUUAUAUUCAAUUAUCAAAUUUGACAUCAGUUAUAAAAAAACUAAAAUUAAUGUUAUAAAUUGCAAAUAGAUUUUUUCUAAAAAAUAGUAAGAGCAUAUGGUGAAUGCCUUGGAAAAUGGAGCCGAAGAAGGACGUGACUACCUGCGAAAAGCAUCGGGGAGCUGGAAGUGAGCUUUGAUCCGGUGAUGUCCGAAUGGGGAAACCUAGUACGAUUAAUCUCGUAUUGUCCACAACUGAAUACAUAGGUUGUGAGAUGGGAACCUUGGGAACUGAAACAUCUUAGUACCAAGAGGAAAAGAAAAUAAAUAAUGAUUCUGUUAGUAGCGGCGAGCGAACGCGGAACAGGCCAAACCAGUCUACGGGCUGGGGUUGUAGGACCAUAGUUAGAGUUACAAAAUCAAUGUAUAGUAGAAGCGAUUGGGAAGUCGCAGCACAGAGGGUGAUACUCCCGUAUACGAAAUGCAUUGAUCUCGAAAUGGAUAUCCUGAGUACGGCGAAACACGUGAAAUUUUGUCGGAAUCCGCCGAGACCACUCGGCAAGCCUAAAUACUACCAUUUUACCGAUAGUGAACCA